GAACGCUGGCGGCAGGCUUAACACAUGCAAGUCGAGCGCACUCUUCGGAGUGAGCGGCAGACGGGUGAGUAACGCGUGGGAAUCUACCCAUCUCUACGGAAUAACUCAGGGAAACUUGUGCUAAUACCGUAUACGCCCUUCGGGGGAAAGAUUUAUCGGAGAUGGAUGAGCCCGCGUUGGAUUAGCUAGUUGGUGGGGUAAUGGCCUACCAAGGCGACGAUCCAUAGCUGGUCUGAGAGGAUGAUCAGCCACACUGGGACUGAGACACGGCCCAGACUCCUACGGGAGGCAGCAGUGGGGAAUAUUGGACAAUGGGCGCAAGCCUGAUCCAGCCAUGCCGCGUGAGUGAUGAAGGCCCUAGGGUUGUAAAGCUCUUUCAACGGUGAAGA
RNAcentral lists this ribosomal RNA (389 nucleotides) under uncultured Hyphomicrobiales bacterium. Its description in RNAcentral is "bacterial SSU rRNA". It matches the Rfam family "Bacterial small subunit ribosomal RNA", at positions 31 to 448 of the family's 1533-position model. The record is from RNAcentral. Lineage: Bacteria; Pseudomonadati; Pseudomonadota; Alphaproteobacteria; Hyphomicrobiales.